GAUGAACGCUGGCGGCGUGCCUAAUACAUGCAAGUCGAGCGAACAGACGAGGAGCUUGCUCCUCUGACGUUAGCGGCGGACGGGUGAGUAACACGUGGAUAACCUACCUAUAAGACUGGGAUAACUUCGGGAAACCGGAGCUAAUACCGGAUAAUAUAUUGAACCGCAUGGUUCAAUAGUGAAAGACGGUUUUGCUGUCACUUAUAGAUGGAUCCGCGCCGCAUUAGCUAGUUGGUAAGGUAACGGCUUACCAAGGCGACGAUGCGUAGCCGACCUGAGAGGGUGAUCGGCCACACUGAAACUGAGACACGGUCCAGACUCCUACGGGAGGCAGCAGUAGGGAAUCUUCCGCAAUGGGCGAAAGCCUGACGGAGCAACGCCGCGUGAGUGAUGAAGGUCUUCGGAUCGUAAAACUCUGUUAUUAGGGAAGAACAAAUGUGUAAGUAACUAUGCACGUCCUGACGGUACCUAAUCAGAAAGCCACGGCUAACUACGU
This 496-nucleotide ribosomal RNA is filed under the name uncultured bacterium. RNAcentral's name for it is "partial 16S ribosomal RNA". It matches the Rfam family "Bacterial small subunit ribosomal RNA", at positions 28 to 506 of the family's 1533-position model. The record is from RNAcentral.